Small nucleolar RNA from Nycticebus coucang (slow loris), 104 nucleotides. RefSeq annotates it as small nucleolar RNA U13. The transcript has a single exon. Lineage: Eukaryota; Metazoa; Chordata; Mammalia; Primates; Lorisidae. The record is from RefSeq and is a predicted model, not a curated record.
AUCCUUUUGUGUUUCAUAAGCAUGAUGACUACAUUUUCGUGCUAUUGCAUGAGAUGUGCCUCCCUCAAACUUUGUUACAAUAUUGGCAGAUUACUUGUCUAAAC